RNAcentral lists this ribosomal RNA (462 nucleotides) under Ameerega silverstonei (Silverstone's poison frog). RNAcentral's name for it is "partial 16S ribosomal RNA". It matches the Rfam family "Bacterial large subunit ribosomal RNA", at positions 1939 to 2554 of the family's 2925-position model. The record is from RNAcentral. Lineage: Eukaryota; Metazoa; Chordata; Amphibia; Anura; Dendrobatidae.
AUCCUAACNGUGCGAAGGUAGCNNAAUCACUUGUUCUUUAAAUGAGGACUAGUAUGAAUGGCCCCACGAGGGCUGCACUGUCUCCUUUUUCUAAUCAAUGAAACUAAUCUCCCCGUGAAGAAGCGGGGAUAACUUUAUAAGACGAGAAGACCCUAUGGAGCUUUAAACAACUGAAACACUUGCUUUUCUCUUAUCCUCUUCCGAGUUUUUAUUUUACCUAAGCAUUUUUAUUUCUAGUUUUAGGUUGGGGUGACCACGGAGCAAAACUAAACCUCCAUGAAGAAAUGAAUACUUUUUAAGCCACAAACUACUUUUUUAAGCAUCAACAAAUUGACCUUCAUUGACCCAAUAUAUUGAUCAACGAACCAAGUUACCCUAGGGAUAACAGCGCAAUCUACUUCAAGAGCUCAUAUCGACAAGUAGGUUUACGACCUCGAUGUUGGAUCAGGGUAUCCUAGUGGG